Molecule: long non-coding RNA, 6076 nt
Organism: Drosophila simulans
Lineage: Eukaryota; Metazoa; Arthropoda; Insecta; Diptera; Drosophilidae
Exons: 3
Source: RefSeq, a predicted model, not a curated record
UGUGUUGGUUAGUCAAAGGUUCACGUUCUUUUAAGGUUGAAUGACAUGGAAUUGAAUGAAAAAAAAAGUGAAAAUAAUAACACACAACGGAAAAUGUGAAACAAACCAAACAAAAUGAGACGGAAACUUUAUUAAAUUGGCUUCCCGUUGAAUAUGCAAAACCUAAAAGUCAAUUUACCGUGGGCCAGCAAGCUAAUGUCCUUCAUUCACGAACUGGAUUUAUGGAUUGAAUAUAAGGCCAGAUUUAUGGGGAUCAGAUUUGCGAGGUAUUUUAGUGGCCAUCGUCAUCAUUUGAUAUGCUUCCUGGACUCAAGCUCGAAAUUAGACUAAGCGUGGGUCUUUGGCCAAGGACAUGCAACUGAUGUUCCACGCUCAGCAGCAUUAUUCAUAUCCUUGAGGAUUUAAUAGACUGUACACAAGUACUAGUUUUUACUGCCCGGCAAGGGGUUGAAUAAUGGCUUGUCACGAAGGAUGAGAGCGCUUGAUGUGCAACGACAAAGUGCAAGUUGAUGUCUUGUUUGCUAUUUGACUGGCUGCUCUUUUCAGGAUGGCUUCGGCCUUUUGCAGUAAUUUCCAAAAGAAAAGUCCUUAACUGAAGCACUGGCUUUAAAGCCCACAUAUGUUGCGACUAGUUUUGGAAUACCUCUCAGUCUCCAAAUGAAAUCUGAAAUUUAACAAGUCCCUUUUCCAAAUCACGAACUGCAACCGCUUGUGUUUAUGGAGCGUCUUUUGGGCCACAGCUCGUAUAGCACAGAAAUAUGCGCAUAUUUCGAAGUCAUUUUGCCUAACCGCUGUGCACACUUACAUUUUACACAAUGCCAUAAACUUAUGUUUGGCCGUGUGAGAAUGGAGAGCUGCGAAAGUGCACACAAAACUCUCCAGAGUGAGCUGCUGAUCAUAAACGGAAACGGAAGUGGCCACAAACGUUCGCACACAAAUUCUCCAAUAUGGUAUUUCAAUUGCCUGUGUGUGCGAUAACAGUAAAAACUAUCAAGUGUGGACCCACCAAGGAGGUAAACCUAUACUAAAAGUAAAACGUUUAAAAUCAAAAUAAUAAAUGGAGCACAAACCCUGUGAUUACAACGUUUCAAACACAUUGUUUAAACAUGAGAUAUACUUUUGUUUCUUUUAAAAUUGUAUUUCUAAAUUUUCUGGAUUCUUGCAAACACACUUCUUGGGGAGCAAAAAGAGACACCCAAAAAGGUGCGUGUGAAAAAGUGGAAUUCGAGUCCGUGGAAAGUGGCUGAGAUUGCUCGUAAAACCGGUAACCAAACCAUUUUUCCGGCUGCGAAAGAAGCAUUUUGGGACUUAUGCUCUAGGCCAAAGCAGAAUUGGCGAAAAAUGCGGAGGCGAGGAAGCAAAUGCAUUCGGCUGUUGAUUAAGCCCGGCUAAUUGGGGGCUUUUCCGGGGGAAAACACGAUGCAGCUGCCUCGAUUGCAUGCAAAUGAGGCGCGAAAACCAGCCAGUGGCUUUAAUUGUUAUGUUUUGUUUCGGUUCUCGCUGCGUUUCGAGUGGCAAAAACCUCCAUCAACCUUGUUGGGGCCAAGCAACGCAAGGUCAUGCCCACUCCCCAACCUCCACCUCAAAAAAAAAAAAACCGCCAGCCAUUUUCGCCCACCAAGACCAACCACCCAACCACCCAGCCACCCACGCAACGCACAGGAGACAACAACAAGAGUGCACAACACUGACAUGCGGAGCGACAGCGACUGCGAUUCAGUUGGGAAAUAUGAAGUAUACGCCGAGUAUACACGUGCGACACGGCGCAAAAGACAACUUAUUUAACACAUUAUGUGCAAGUUCAAAUAUUCAACUUUAACUCGGGCUUCAACCCAAGACGACCCGCGCUCUCCCAUUUUCCCAUUUGCCCAUCUCAACAUUUUCAGAUCCUCCCAACUUCCAUCACUUCAUCGCGACAUGUGCGAGAAACUUUUCCCUUUGCCAACAAACUUCUUCAGCUUGAGCUGAAUCUUCCAAGGUUCCAUGGUGGAGGAGCUGCUUCAGCGAAAAUGCAUGAAAUUAUUCAUAGUUUCUUUGUGGCACAGGAACACUUGUUACAGCCAAUGUGUCACAUAAGUUGCGUUUGUAAAUGUAAAUACGUAUAUUAUUAUUAAUUUGUGUAUGCCUUAAUAACAAAUCGCACCACUUGUUGGUCAAAGUCUUAAUUCUGCUUUUUUUGCGGCCAUAUAUCUUAAACCACUGCAGUUUAUGACAGAGAUGCCUUCUGGUUUUGUGGCCAACGUUGCUGCUGUGUGCUGCCAAAAAGUGGGCGGUUCAAGGCGGGGGCGUGACAGAUGCAGACGCAGAUGCAGAUUCACGGUAAAGCGCAUAUUAAAUUCCACUUUGGCGGCAGAUGGACGUCCAGAGGAACAACUGCUUCGCAUAAUGCACGAAGGGGCUGGGACAGUGAACUCUGGCUUAUACCGACAGGAAAGUAAUAGUGAACUCUGGCUUAUAAUUAGCUAAUAUACUUAAUUGUUAUCCAUACAUGUUUUAGAUUUUAAACGUAUAGCUUUUGCUUGAAUUGCAAACUUAUUACUUACAAAUGGACAAAAAUUUUUACAUUUUACAUUUGUACCAUUAUUUGCAUUGUUAUGUCCUAUAAACAAUAUUUCUUUGCUGCAAAAUCAGAAAUACGUGCAUUCAUAACUUUGUUAUAUGUUGGCUAAAUACAAUCAACUAUUUUUCCUGCAAUAUAUAUUUUAUGUAUUGUAUAUAUAUAUAUAUAGUAUAUACUAGAGAAAUGCAACAUCUAAAUGAUCUUAUAGUCGGUCUUCACUGUUGCCCUUGUGUUUGCCCACCGACAAAUGCGGCAAAUGGGCAAACAAAAAAAAUGCAUUGUCCCUGCGACAGGACUCCUUCGUUCCUCGUGUCACUUAAUUUCCAGCGACAAUAAAGCCAACAAUGGCAAUAAAGAGCCAAAAGACAAGCCACACAAAGAGCCACCGUCGACCACGAAUUGGCUGCGGAAAGGAGUGAAAGGACACGCCAGUCCGGUUCGAGUCCUGCUGCUCCCUGCUCCUUGCUCCCCGAUGGUCAAAGGAUGUGAUCUGGUGCAGGAUGAUAUAUGACAGCCGCAUAUGGCCGCAUGGCCAUUUGAAUGCACUUUCAACCACUGUGAAAGUACAGGUUUUAUUAUUUUGGGUGGAAAAUUGGCAAGGAAAGGCGGUCUGGAAAAUAAAUAUGUGCUCUGCGUGCAACGUUAAUGCAACAGGGAUGGAAAGAAUCUUGCUGAAAAAUGCUCUAUCAUAUGAUAAAAAAAAUAAAAAAAUAGCCGUUUUAAUUUAAUUUAAAUGUUAACAUAGCCAAGUUCACACUUCUACGUUUAGCACUGAUUACUAGCGUUCAGUUUCAUUCCUUACGUUUCCAUCAGUGAAUAAACUCAUAUUUUAUACAAAACUUGUGCGAUGAAUUGUCAAAUCACUAAUAAAUAAAUCACUAUAAGAAUUUGUAUUAUUUGAUUAUCAAUUUAUAUGUGCUUUUUUCUUUGGUCAAAUCGCUCGCUAAAGUUAUAUCCUUUUAUAUAUUUUCCAACUCCCAAGUGCUUUUCGAAAUCAUACAAUUUAUUAUGCCUACUUUUCCUUGUCUGACUUUAAUUAAUAUUUUUAUUAAUAUUCACACACAACUUCGUUGCGAGAAAUGCGAAAGAUGAAAACCACAAUGCCAACGUCGUUUUUAAUUCGAUUAUAAAGUGUAUGCAAAAAACUGAAAUAUGAAAAAAAAACAUACAUCAUAUACUCGUAUUAAUAUUCCACCUUAAUUCUGCAUUCCCUUGGGGCCAAAUAAUUGCAAUCCCUUUUCCGCAAAGGAGUUGUAAAUGUAUUUUUAAAUUGGACGUUUUUCUGGGCCACAUCUGUAGUGAAGGGCUGUACACUGAAAGAAAUAUUUCGAUUUGGCUAAUAUUGAAAUUGCUUUUUAUUUAUGUGCACUUAAAUUAAACACACUAAACAUGCUAUUUUUAUGAACCACUCCAGAUGUGAUGUCGAAUGUAAAAAUGUGUAAGCAGUGUAUUUAUAUUUUUUAUGUGCAUUUUCACCAAUGCAAUUUCUGCGUAAUUGGAGCAACAGUUUUUUGUGCCCGGAGCCGGAAACAGAAGCCAACAAAUUGAGUUUUGUUUCCCCCAUGAAAUUGUUGGGGCUCCGUCGUAAAUCAAAAGUUGCUGGCAGCGAAAUGGAGCGAUGCUUUUUUACAUUUCACGUAAAUAAUAACGGUUUGACUGCAGCAGCUGCGUCAACAAGGAAAACAUUUUUCGAAUAUGUGACCCCUGACCCCAACAAAACCAUCACUCACCACCCAUUAUUCACCCCAAUCAAUUAAAGUUAUACGCUUAAAGCAAAGGAAAACAUUUGAAAAAGUUACACAAACUAAAGCUAAUAUCAAAUUCCAUUUAGGGAGAUUAAAAUACAAAUUGUAAUUAUUUUGUUUAUUAUAUUAUAUACAUAUCAGCUGUAAACUUACCUUGUUACUGUUCACAACCUGUAAUCCAAGACAAAAUUGUUUAAAACUCGAUGUUUGUGUAUAAAUGUAGUUUAUUUUUGUUUCUCGCUGUUGUUUGCAUUCGGUCACGUGUUAAGUAUUAAUAAAUAAAUUGCAUUAGGUAGUAUACGAUUAGUGUUUGGUUUAAGAAGUUAGUUAGAGGCGCAGUAGCAGAGAGUUUCUAUAGUGGGUUCCUUAGUGUGUUUGCCGUGUCCCGAGUAGCUUAGAAAUUAAUAAUUUAAUUGUUGUGGCUGUGUGUGUCGUCUGUGUUUUGCAAAAAUAUUGCACCUGCGCUUCCGAAUGGCGAUCAGAAGAAUUCUAUAUAUAUAUAUUUAUAUAAAUAUUAUUAACUUGCGUCUUUUGUUGUUACCUGCACUUGAAAUAUUUAAAAUACUCUUUUAGUUUAGUCGUUUCCAUUUAGAUUAAUAACAUAUGUAUACAUAUUGGUUUCAAUUUGCUUUUGUGGUUUAUUUGCCUUUUUUGUCGCUUUUUAAGUAUGCAAAAAUAAGCUCUCUCUCUUUCUUUCUCUCUGUGUCUAUCCCUUUUGCUUUCUAUGGCGCCGUCUCUGUCGUUUAUGUGGCUCCGUCUCUUUCUUACAUGUAUGCCUUUGCUUAACAGAAACUAGACAAUGCUGAAAUUAUUGUUCUUCGUAUUACUUUUGCUGUUUUGCUUAUUGUUUUCGCUUUAGAUAUAUCAUAAUUAUCGUACGAGUAUAUAUCGUUAUGUAUAUGGCAAUAAUCGAUCGAGAAAUGUGCAGUUUUCUUGUACAAACAUUACAUAUACAAUUAGAAUCAAUAUGCGCUUCGUUUUAUGUUUUUCUGACGCUUUUUAAAUGCAUUUAUUUUGUUUGUUGUUUUGUUGGUUUUGCAGGCAUGGCUUCGUUUGUCUAAGGCUAUUUUUAAUAAUAAAUAUCGGUAAUGGUAUUGCAAUAAUUAUCCGCAAUGGCUCUAUACAAUAAUAAGUUUAACGAAAUCUAAUCUUUUUUGGCAUAAGGUGUGUUGCUUUUUGUUUCUUUUUAUCGAAAAUUAUAAAUGUAGUUAAAGAACUAAAGUACGGUUAAUAUACAUGACAAAUAAUGGAUUAGAUCAUAUCAUAAAAAUUUGCUUGCAAGUAAAUUCAAUCGAAUGCUUAAGCUAAUGGAUGCGAGGGAAUUCGGGAAGGUUGGUAUUUUCGGGACAAUGCGUUUACAAUUUUUUAAAUACUUUACAAUGACUGCUCACAUACACUCGCACUGGCUUUAAAUUCAGUCUUUUUCAUGUACACAGAUGGACAAAAUGAACCAAAAAGUAGCAUAUUCUGUAACUGCAGUAAUAAUAAUCUCUAUUGCAGUUGUGGUCGCUGUGGACACCUGAACGAUUUGACGACGAACAAUUAAUCUCAUUGUAGACUUAAUACAUUUGCAAUUCAUUUAAAUUAACUACAAUUAUGUUCGCAAUGUGAAUACAUAAAGACAAAUAAUCAAUGAACAAUUUAAGACUAAACAAAUUCCAAUUUAAGGUCUCUUUGCGAAUCAAUGGAACUUAAAGCUGGUGAAGUUGCAGUUGACGAAUUUAUAGUUUUUCGAUUCCAGCGUAGGCGUGUGAACAGUUGCAUAUAUAUU